UACGUAGGCAGCAAGCGUUGUUCGGAAUUACUGGGCGUAAAGAGUGUGUAGGCGGUUCUCUAAGUUCGGUGUGAAAUCUCCCGGCUUAACUGGGAGGGUGCGCCGAAAACUGGAGGGCUUGAGUAUGGGAGAGGAAAGCGGAAUUCCUGGUGUAGCGGUGAAAUGCGUAGAUAUCAGGAGGAACACCUGCGGUGUAGACGGCUUUCUGGACCAUCACUGACGCUGAGACACGAAAGCGUGGGUAGCAAACAGG
RNAcentral lists this ribosomal RNA (253 nucleotides) under uncultured bacterium. RNAcentral describes it as "partial 16S ribosomal RNA". It matches the Rfam family "Bacterial small subunit ribosomal RNA", at positions 524 to 776 of the family's 1533-position model. The record is from RNAcentral.